GGAGUUUGGGCCGUGUCUCAGUCCCAAUGUGGCCGUUCACCCUCUCAGGCCGGCUACUGAUCGUUGCUUUGGUGGGCCGUUACCUCACCAACUGGCUAAUCAGACGCGGGUCCAUCUUAUACCACCGGAGUUUUUCACACUGUGUCAUGCGACACCGUGCGCUUAUGCGGUAUUAGCAGUCAUUUCUAACUGUUGUCCCCCGGUAUAAGGCAGGUUACCCACGCGUUACUCACCCGUCCGCCACUAAGUUUACAAUCACUAGGUUUCAUGUAAACUCCGUUCGACUUGCAUGUGUUAAGCACGCCGCCAGCGUCGUCUCGAGCACGGAGUCAACUACU
This 338-nucleotide ribosomal RNA is filed under the name uncultured Lachnospiraceae bacterium. RNAcentral describes it as "partial 16S ribosomal RNA". Lineage: Bacteria; Bacillati; Bacillota; Clostridia; Lachnospirales; Lachnospiraceae. The record is from RNAcentral.